RNAcentral lists this ribosomal RNA (450 nucleotides) under uncultured bacterium. RNAcentral's name for it is "bacterial SSU rRNA". It matches the Rfam family "Bacterial small subunit ribosomal RNA", at positions 29 to 524 of the family's 1533-position model. The record is from RNAcentral.
AACGAACGCUGGCGGCAUGCCUAACACAUGCAAGUCGAACGAAGCCUUCGGGCUUAGUGGCGCAUGGGUGCGUAACGCGUGGGAAUCUGCCCUUGGGUUCGGAAUAACAGUUAGAAAUGACUGCUAAUACCGAAUGAUGUCUUCGGACCAAAGAUUUAUCGCCCAAGGAUGAGCCCGCGUCGGAUUAGCUAGUUGGUGAGGUAAAGGCUCACCAAGGCGACGAUCCGUAGCUGGUCUGAGAGGAUGAUCAGCCACACUGGGACUGAGAUACGGCCCAGACUCCUACGGGAGGCAGCAGUGGGGAAUAUUGGACAAUGGGGGGCAACCCUGAUCCAGCAAUGCCGCGUGAGUGAUGAAGGCCUUAGGGUGUAAAGCUCUUUGCCAGGGAAGAUGAUGACUGUACCUGGAGAAUAAGCCCCGGACUAACUUCGUGCCAGCAGCCGCGGUAAU